UCAAAGUUUGAUUCUGGCUUUAAAAUUAAUUUAAUGAAAGACUUAACAUGCAAAGUAUACUAAAAUUUAUUUGACGCAGUACUUAAUUUUACACUACUUAGUUUAAGGUGUAGCUAUCUAUUUAAUAAUUGAUUAAAAUCGUGCCAGCAUUCGCGGUCACACGAUAAUUUAGAGUUAAUUAGUUCGGUUAUGUUGAAUUUUUUAUUAUUCAAUAGAUAUUAUGAUCUUUAUAUGGGUAAAAUCUUAAAUAUUAUAUGGUUUAUUAAUAUGAAUUUAUUCUAUCUUAAAUCACAUAGACCUGGAUUAGAUACCCAGUUAUAAAAAAGUUAUUAAUACCUUAGUAGUAAUGGAAGAAACUUAAAGAAUUUGGCGGUAAAUUAAUCCUUAUAGAGGAAUUUGUUAAUGAAUCGAUAAUCCACGUUUAUCUCUCUUAUUUUAUAUCUAUAUAUCGUUGUUUAAAGAAAUAAGCUAAAGCUUUUAUCUUAAUUUUAAAUAAAAUUAAAUCAAAUCAAGGUUUAGUUAUUUUUAAGAUUUAAUGAAUUACAAUUUUUAAAAAAAGUGAAUUAUUCAAUUAUAUUUGAGUUUGAAAUUGGAUUUAUAAGUAUGUUGAUUAAAUUAAAGUUAAUUGAAAUGGCUCUAAUUUAUGUACAAAUCGCCCGUCACUCUCGUUUCUAAAAUGAGAUAAGUCGUAACAAAGUAGAUUCACUGGAAAGUGCUUCUUGUAUGUA
Molecule: non-coding RNA, 728 nt
Filed under: Allacma fusca
Lineage: Eukaryota; Metazoa; Arthropoda; Collembola; Symphypleona; Sminthuridae
Source: RNAcentral